Molecule: ribosomal RNA, 253 nt
Filed under: uncultured bacterium
Lineage: Bacteria
Description: partial 16S ribosomal RNA
Rfam family: Bacterial small subunit ribosomal RNA
Source: RNAcentral
AACGUAGGAGACAAACGUUAUCCGGAGUUACUGGGCGUAAAGGGCGUGUAGGUGGUUAUGUAAGUCUGGCGUGAAAUUUUUCGGCUUAACCGGGAAAGGUCGUCGGAUACUGCAGGACUCGAGGACGGUAGAGGCGUGUGGAAUUCCGGGUGUAGUGGUGAAAUGCGUAGAGAUCCGGAGGAACACCAGUGGCGAAGGCGACACGCUGGGCCGUACCUGACACUGAUGCGCGACAGCAUGGGGAGCAAACAGG